ACACUAGGACUGAGACAUGGCCCAGACUCCUACGGGAGGCAGCAGUGGGGAAUUUUUCGCAAUGGGCGAAAGCCUGAUGGAGCAAUGUCGCAUGAAGGCAGAAGGCCCAUGGGUCAUGAACUUCUUUUAUCAGAGAAUAAACAAUGAUGGUAUCUGAGGAAUAAGCAUUGACUAACUCUAUGCCAGCAGCCGCGGUAAGAUAGAGGAUGCAAGCGUUAUCCAGAAUGAUUCAGCGUAAAGCGUCUGUAGGUGGCUUUUCAAGUCCGUCGUCAAAUCCCAGGGCUCAACCCUGGACAGGUGGUGGAAACUACCAAGCUAGAGUACGAUAGGGGCAGAGGGAAUUUUCAGUGGAGCAGUGAAAUGCAUUGAGAUCGGAAAGAACACCAAUAGUGAAAGCACUCUGCUGGGCCGACACUGACACUGAGAGACGAAAGCUAGGGGAGAAAAUGGGAUUAGAUACCCCAGUAGUCCUAGCUGUAAAUGAUGGAUACUAAGUGUUGUGUGUAUCGACCCACACAAUUUUGUAGCUAAUGUGUUAAGUAUCCCGCCUGGGGAGUACGUUCGCAAGAAUGAAACUCAAAGGAAUGACGAAGGCG
This 596-nucleotide ribosomal RNA is filed under the name uncultured bacterium. RNAcentral describes it as "bacterial SSU rRNA". It matches the Rfam family "Bacterial small subunit ribosomal RNA", at positions 310 to 921 of the family's 1533-position model. The record is from RNAcentral.